CAAACACCAAAGACACAGACACACCAGAAAUGCAUGGAAUUAAAGAAUAGAAAGCAUGGGAAACAUAGAAGGUUUCCUGAUUGGCAUGAGGCCUACUACUUCUACUUCAGGACCAAGUCGAUACUAAAAUAAAAAAGAUGUAACGACAGCAGUGUUUCUGCAGUACCGAUCACCGACUCUAUCUGGUACCAGCACACAGCAUGACUGACACGACAGCUUUAAAAUGCGCACAGGCUUAUUUUGAACGCGUGCUCUGUUACUCCUUGUACACUGAAAUGGACAAUUAAUCCAAUUCAAAUCAUGGAAUUAAAGAAUAGAAAUCAUGGAAAACAUAGAAGGAAGUUAAAAGGAAAAAUUCCUAAGUGGCAGUACAAGGCAGAGGUGAAGUGGCCAUCAGGAGAGCCUGGACUUGACCGUGAAACUGGGCCAGAUAUGCCAAAGUGGGCCACAAUAUGAUGAAGGGGGCCACGAUAUCCUGGUAAAGCAUUUGUUCAAAAGGUCAGCAAAAUGUCUUUAAGCAGAUGUUUUUCAGCAGAGGUAUUAUUGCACCCCUGAACUCUUGACCUCUGGACUCUUUUGAAGUCUCUCUCAGAAUGUUGUCAGGCUUCCCAAAACUGCCAAGAAAACAAACUCACUAACAGCCAAUCAGCAUGAACCAUGAUACAGCAACCUUUCAGCCUAACCAAUCAGAACUAUUCAUUGCACCUUGUUCAUCCUUCAUCUCAUUAACAUGCAGAACUUUCUAAAGUUAAUAUCAGAUUAG
Molecule: long non-coding RNA, 763 nt
Organism: Myxocyprinus asiaticus (Chinese sucker)
Lineage: Eukaryota; Metazoa; Chordata; Actinopteri; Cypriniformes; Catostomidae
Exons: 3
Source: RefSeq, a predicted model, not a curated record